CCAGUGUGAGAACAGGCCCAUACAACCGUUUCCGACAACGACGACGAAGGAAAACGACCAGAACAUCCUCCGUCGGCGUAGGCUCAGGCGCCAUCGGUUAAGAGAGCCAUAUUCAAUUUACCGAACCUGAAUCCGAUUCAAAACCUAUGCCUGUUUAUCGGCCCACUCUGGCUCCGAAUCUCCCUGCUGAAGCUCCGAUUCCUGAAAGGUACAUAUCUAAGCGGCUAAUUUACAAGAACCAAACCCGCCGCCUCCUUUCAAUUUGCAACCAUGUUAUUUAUUUAUUAAAUUUUCUCUCUUUCUUUGGGUCUUUUAAAGUACAUUUCAUUAUUCAUUUCUUUAGUUGUUGGGGUUUGCAAAAGCUUGGAUUUUGGAAAUAAUUGUUCUAGGAAGUGUAAUCACUGGCGACAUGUGGACAUAAGUUAGUGAAUAAGCGAUCUUGAGUUUAUUUUUAAGUUGUUUAAAAAUUAAAGAAGAAAGAAAUAUUAAACCGUACAAAAGUCUCAAACUUGAGUUCUACACUCUUUAAGCAAUCUUGAAUGAUCUUUUACCAUACUGAAUCUAAGCCUAACUCUAGAACUCAAUGAAGUUAAAUUUCACUUUAUACAUCUUGGUUUUAUAAGCUGCUACUGCUGCUCCUGCGGCAUGAGAAGUAAUUUCGGGAACGUGUGAAGCAAGAUGGAUUGCCGGCAUUCUCUGGCAAGACUUGUCAAAGUAUAGUGAGCAACUCCACUAAUAUUACUGUGAUGCUUAAAUUACAAAUUCAGAAUGUGUUUGCUGUUAGGAAUUAGACCGCUACUAAUUCCGUGACGAUGAGUGAGACAUAAAAUAAUUUAAACGGAGAAGAAAUAAAUGGAGCAAAAAAUUAAUAAGUACAAGUGACACAAGAAUUUACGUGGUCCGGCAAUUGUGCCUACGUCCACAAACCCACACCAAUUUUUUACUAUAUCAACAAGAGAAGAAAAAAUACAACAAAUACACUCUCUGUAUUUUAUUUGCCUAUGCAAAGGCAAUCUCUCAAUUUUCUUUCGUUAAUUUUCUACACAAACUAAAGCCUAACUGCUUCUUAUUUUUGUAUUUUGCUCACUAUCUCUCGUGUUUUCACUUACCACCUUUCUUGCACUUCUCUUUGCACAUCUAUAUGUUUGUUCCUGCUUUGGCCUCGUAUUUAUAGUGAAAAACGUGUCACCCUCAUUAAUUGCAAAUCCAUCAUUUUCAACAAAGGCAAUCUUUCAUUAAAUGCAUGGCAAAAAAAUUCUUCCAAAAAUACGGCUGCAGGGUUGCAAAAUUUGUGAAUCCUAAGACUUAGGCUCUAUUAUUUCAACAAUCUCCCACUUGGAGACUAAUGUGGCUUCACCUUGAGACAUCCUGCGAGCAGUUCCAUAUUGGUGUGGAUCACCUUCAUCGUCUUCAUUUUAGAAGGCCAACUGUAAUUGAACACAACUCCAGUUUUUUCGUAGUUACCGUCUUAGUUAACACGCCAGCUGGGUUUUUGCUGCCCUGGAUCUUUUCCAAUGUUAAUACUCCAUCCUUCAAGAGAGAUCUGAUGAAGUGAUAACGAAGACCAAUGUGCUUCGUUCUCAAAUGAAAUGCUGCAUUCUUUGCCAGAUAUAUAGCACUCAGACUAUCACUGUGCAAAACAUUCUUUUCCUGCUUGAGACCCAAUUCUAUCAACAGACCUUGUAACGAAAUCAUCUCUUUGCUAGUUUUGGUUACGGCCACGUACUCUGCUUCUAUAGUUGAUAAAGCAACAAUCUUCUGUUUUUGCGAAACCCAACUCACUGCAGUAGUACCAACUGCGAAUACAUAACCGGUGGUGCUUUUCCUGUGAUCGAUCUCGCCAGCAAAAUCUACAUCUACAAAGCUUUGUAGUGCCAACUCACCUCUUUUGAAACAUAAACAAUUAUCAAUAGAACCCUGUAGAUAUCUUAGUAUCCACUUCACUACUUCCCAGUGCUGUUUUCCUGGAUUGGUCAUGAAUCUGAUCACAACUCCCACUACAUGAGGAAUGUCGUCUUGUACAGACCAUGGCAUACAUUAAACUUCUAAUGGCUAAGGCGUAUGGAAUAUUAGCAAUGAAGUUUCUUUCGUCUUUUGUUUUUAGAGACUGGUCAUUUAAUAGACGGAAGUGAUUAGCCAAUUGCGUGCUAACUGCUUUUUCAUUGUUUAUGUUGAACUUCUGCAAAACUUGACUAAUGUACUUGGCCUAGAAUAGCUGUAAAGUGUCUUUUCGCUUGUCCCUACAAAUUCUCAUCCCUCGAAUUUGUUUAGCUGGACCCAAAUCCUUCAUUUCGAAUUCUACUGAUAAUUGCUUCUUUAAUUUCUGGAUUUCGUUCAUGUCUAGUCCCACUACUAACAUGUCAUCAACAUAAAGUAGCAAAAUAAUGUAGCUAAGCUUCGGCCUAUUAAAAUAGCAACAAUGGUCAGCAUUGCACUUGUAGUAGCCAUUUUUCUGUAUAAAUUCGUCAAACUUUUUGUACCACUGUCUCGGAGCUUGUUUUAAGCUAUACAAGUUUUUUUUCAAUUUGCACACAAGCUUCUCUUUUCCUUUAAUUGAGAAACUCUCUGGUUGCUGCAUAUAUAUCUCCUCUUCUAGGUUGCCAUGGAGAAAGGUAGUUUUCACAUCUAACUGCAACCCCCCUGUUGCAACAAUACUCAAGACGAAUCGAAUUGUUGUCAGCUUUACUACUGGAGAAUAAAUCUUUGUGUAGUCAAUUCCUUCUUUCUGUUGAAAGCCUUUGACCACCAAUCUUGCCUUGUAUCUCUUUGAUCCGUCAUGUUCCUCCUUGACUCGAUAGACUCAUUUAUUAUGUAGAGCCUUCUUUUCUGCAAGCAACUCAACUAGCUCCCACGUUUGAUUAGAGAUAAGAGACUUUAUCUCAUCUUUCAUUGCAAACUCUCACUUAAUCGCAUCUUCUCCUUGACAUGCUCAUCAUAGCAUUCAAGUUCACUGGCACCAGUAAGUAACAGAUAAUUUAUGUAUUUUCUGUUUGGAAUACGUGGUCGGGAAGAUCUUCUAGGAAUAGGAGUUGGAGACUUUGGUAAAGUCUCCACAACAGCUUCCUCUGGCUGAGGACUCUCAUCUGUCUAUUUUGACAUACUACUACUUGGAGUAUCGUCCAACUCAACAUAUGUUGGAUUUUCAUGUAAGUCACUAGACAGUACUGUAUCUCUGUCUUUGUACAUCACCCUUUCAUUGAAUAUGACAUCCCGACUUCUAAUGACCUUGUUGUUCUUAUCAUUCCAAAAGCGAUACUUGAACUCAUCACCACCAUAUCCAAUGAAGGUACACUUUAGUGAUUUGGGGUCAAGCUUACCCUUAGGUUGAUCACUAAUAUGUACAUAUGCGACACAGCAAAAAAAUUUCAAAUGAGAGUUUUUUUCUUUUCCAUUCCAUACUUCCUCUAGUAUCCUGUACUCCAAAGGCACUAAUGGCCCACGAUUAAUUAAGUAUGCUGCUGUGUUGAUAGUUUCAGCCCAAAAUUGUUUAGGCAAACCAGCAUGUAACCGCAUGCUUCUGGCUCUUUCUGUCAACGUCCGAUUCAUUCGUUCAGAUACACCAUUUUGUUGCGGUGUUCCUGGCAACGUUCUUUCUAGUUUGAUACCAUUUUGGUAACAAAACUUUUUGAAAUCAGUAUGUUCGUACUCUCCGCCAUUAUCUAAUCUCAAUUUCUUUACUCGCAAAUCGUUUCAUUUUCCACCAUAGCUUUCUACUUCUUAAACAUCUCGAACACUUAGGAUUUUUGUCUCAAGAAGUAGACCCAUACUUUUCUGGAAUGAUCAUCAAUGAAAGUCACAAAAUAAGACUUUUCGCCAAUAGAUGGAACUGCAGCUAGUCCCCAGACAUCCGUGUGGACUAACUCUAGCUUUUCCUGCUUCGGAGUUCUGCCACACUUGUUGAAACUCACCCGCUUCUACUUCCCGAAGAUGCAACUCUCACAUAGGUCUGCAUCAAUAGAUUGAACUCUCGGUAGUUUCCCUUUAUCAUGCAUGUACUUGAGUCCUUUCUGACUCAUAUGCCCCAGUCUCUGGUGCCAUAGAUUCGGAUCUUCAUUUGAAGCAGUAACUGCAAUUAUUCUGCAGGCACUCAUUGUGGUGUAAAGAGUACAAUUUUUCUUGCCUCGUGCUAUGGUCAUUGCACCCCUAGAAACUUUCCAAAUAUCACUGUUGAAAGUUAUGACAUAACCUUCAUUUGAUAAUUGGCCCACUGAUAUCAAGUUCUUCCUCAAGUUUGGAAUGUGUCUGACAUCCUUCAAUUUCCAUACAGAUCCAUUAAGCUUGAUCUGUAUUUCGCCUUUGCCGACUACGUCACAAGGUUGAUCAUCACCAAGAUAUACUUUUCCAAGAUUUCUUGGUUCAUAACUCGUAAAGAGUUCUCUAUUUGAGGUAGCAUGAAAAGAUGCUCCAGAAUCUAUUACCCACAUUCUGUUUUGCUUUCCAAAGAGCAUACCAAAGCAUCAUCAGAUUUUUCUGCUACAACAUUGGCUUCGAUUUUGUUUUCAUUUCCUUUCUUGAAAACUUGACACUGAUUUUUGUAGUGUCCGGUCUUGCCACAAUUCCAACAUUCAACAACUUUUAAUUUGUUGAAAUUCUUUGGAUAUCUGGAUUUUGAUCUGCCAAACCUUGACUUGCUCCUGUUAUGCCCUUUACUUCUGUUUGAACUUCUGCCUCUGCUCCUGGAUGUUCAAAGUGGCUUCAGAAGUGGAAACACCUUUUGUCUGUCUUGUAUUUCCUCGAUCAAGAUCAUACUCAUGACAUCUUCAAACUUCAAUAUGGACUUUCCAGCAGAGCUCCUAAUUGCUGUAACCGUGCCAUUCCAACUCUUAGGCAGCUGCCCGAGAAUCAACAAAGCUCGAACCUCAUCACUAAACGUGAUUUCGGCCAUGUUUAACUGGUCCGUCAUUUCAUUGAACUCAUUUAGAUGUUCUCCAAAUCUUUCCCCUUCCGUCAUUUUCAUAGUAAAUAACUUUUUGAUUAAAUGAACUUUGUUUGCUGUAGAUGGUUGUUUGUACAUGCUAGACAGGGCCGCCAUGAGAGAUGUCGUUGUCUUCUCAUUUUUUAUAUUGAAAGCAACUGAAUUUGAUAAUGUCAGCCUUAUUGUGUCGAGAGCCUUUCGAUCAAGUAAUUCCCACUCGUCGUUGGUCAUGUCCUCCGGCUUUUCGUGAAGUGGUUUAUACAGGUUCUUCUGGUACAAAUAGUCCUCCAUUUGUAUCUUCCAAAAUCCAAAGUUUGUGCCAUCAAACUUAUCGAUUUUAGAUAUCUUCUCGUCUGUUGCCAUUUCUCCCAUUUAAAUUUUAGAGCUCUGAUACCAGUUUUUAGGAAUUAGACCGCUACUAAUUCCGUCAUAUCAGUAGGACGCAAAAUAAUUUUAACUGAGAAGAAAUAAAUGUCGCAAAAAAUAAUAAGUGCAAGUGACACAAGAAUUUACGUGGUUCGGCAAUUGUGCCUACGUCCACAAACCCACACCUAUUUUUUUACUAUAUCAACAAGAGAAGAAAAAAAUACAACACACUCUCUGUAUUUUAAUUUUCUGCACAAACUAAAGCCUAACUGUUUCUCACUUUUAUGUUUUGCUCAUUGUCUCUAGUAUUUUCACUCAACACCUUUCUUGCAUUUCUCUUUGCACAUCUAUGUGUUUGCUCCUGCUUUGGCCUCGUAUUUAUAAUGAAAAACUUGUCACCCUCAUUAAUUGCAAAUCCAUCAUUUUCAACAAAAACAACCUUUCAAUAAAUGCAUGGCAAAUUUUUUUUUUUCCAAAAAUACAGCUACAUGGUUGCAAGAUUUUUCCAUCCAUAUUGUUUUGUCAACAGUUGCUACCACCUUUUGACAAAAUGUGUUGACACACAUGAAAUUUUAUGAAGCCUAAGACAUAGGCUCCAUUAUUUCAACAUUUGCAUACCUGAAACUCCUGCAUAUUCUAAUCUUUAAUCUGCAGUCUCCUUGUACGAUUUGGUCUGAAGUGCAAGUUUCAUUUGGUUUAUGCUAUUAAAAAAGUAUCAACCUGUGACACUGACAUCUUUUCUUGAGCUUACAUAUAUACAUUUGAAUGCCUAUAAUAAUAAUAGAAAAAAGGUGGCUUAAAGGCCCUAAACAUGACAUCUUUUUCGUUUUUCUCAUCUUAAAUAUAUCUCAAUUGAGGAUAUACCAAAGCCCUUCUGGUUAAGAUAUGUGUAGUUCGCUACGUGCAGUUUUCCUCCAAUUGAAACGCUAUUUCGCAUAACACUUUCUGUCUCAUUUAACAUUGAAGUUGAAAACAGGAAUAAGAUAUUUUCUCAUUAACAAUGUACAAUACAUGUGUCCUAUUUAUAGAAGAAGGAAGGAAUAAAAGAAAGGAAAGCAAAUCUCUAAUGAACAUACAAUAGUCUAUCUGAGGAAAAUAAAACCUUCAAUAAUCUCUCUUAUUUUAUUCUAAAUUAAUUCAGAAUUUCCAAUACUUCCCCUCAAGUUGGAUCAUAAAUUUUGAUCAUAUCCAAUUUGGAGAUGAAAUCAUCGAACGGUAGUUCUUUGGUGAAGACAUCUGCAAUUUGUGUUUGCGUUGGGACAUAUGUCAUACAAAUAGGUCCUCCUUCAACUUUUUCUUUAAUAAAGUGUCUGUCCACCUCUACUUGCUUAGUUCGAUCAUGUUGAACUGGAUUAAGAGAAAUAUUGAUUGCUGCUUUAUUAUCACAAUAUAGUUUGAUUGGCAAUUUCAUUAUGAUAUGUAAUUCUUCCAGGAGCUUUUUUAACCACAGUCCUUCGCACAUUCCUUGUGCAACAACUCUGAACUCAGCUUCAGCACUGCUUCUUGCUACUACAUUCUGGUUCUUGCUUCUCCAAGUCACCAGAGUUCCUCACACAAAGGUACAAUAACCAGUAGUUGAUCUCCAAUCACCAAUUGAUCCUGCCCAAUCUGCAUCUAUGUAAAUUUUUGGAGAGGUGUUGCAAAGUUUAGGACACAACUAGGCAUUCGAUUGAUUAGAUAGGUGGAUGUAAGGACCGCAUCCCCCCAGAAUAUUUUUGGCAUGUUCGUAGUAAACAUUAGGGCACGAGCAACUUCUAGAAGAUGUCUAUUUUUUUGUUGGACAAUCCCAUUUUGUUGGAGAGUGUCAACACAAGAGCUUUGAUGAAUUAUGUCAUGAGAAUGCAAGAAAUUUCCCAUGAUGUUAUUGAAAUAUUCUGUGCCAUUGUCGGUGUGUAAAAUUUGAAUUUGUGUUUGAAAUUACGUUUGAAUCAUAGAGUGGAAGUUUAUGAACACGGACCGAACAUCGGAUUUUUCUUUUAAUAGAUAUACCCAACAAAUUCGAGUAUUAUCGUCGAUGAAUGUAACAAACCAUUUUGCAUUAUUUCGGUUUGGGACACGUGAGGGCCCCCAUACAUCACUAUGAAUCAUGGUGAAAGGCUUUGAUGGUUUGUACGUGGAUUUUGAGAAUGUCGUACGUUGAUGUUUUGCAAGUUCACAAAUUUCACAUUGAAGAUUGACUGAUUUUUUAUUCCAAAAAAAUAGAAGGAAAGACGUUUCAAGUAUUGAAAGUUGGGAUGAUCCAUUCUAAAGUGCCAUAACAUAAUUUCACUAUUUAUAAAGACAGACGCAGAAUCACAAACUUUAAUUUGACACUGUUUACUCAAAUCAGCCUCUUCAAAGUAGUAGAGUCCUUCACUUUCCUUAGCAUUGCCAAUCGUCUUCCCCGAUGAUAGAUCCUGAAAAACACAGUAAGAUGGAAGGAAUUUAGCAGAGCAGUUGGAGGUUUUUGUUAACUGGCUUAUGGAUAGUAAAUUGCAUGAUAAAUUUGGAACAUGAAGAACAGGUUCUAAAGUUAUAGAAUCGGAAAUUUGAAUACUCCCUUUUCUUGCGACAGUAGAUAGAGAACAAUCUGCAAUCUUAACUUUAAGAUUGCCAGCACAUGUUGAGUACGAAAAGAAUAAGUGGUAGGAAUCCGUCAUAUGAUUAGACGCUCCCGAGUCAAUGAUCCAGGGCGUUUUAGUUUGAGUGAUGGAUUUUAAAGCUCUCAAAAAAUUACCUCUGUGGGCGAGUGAACUUGAAGGAUUAUUUGUGGAGGUUUGACUUGACGGUUGGAGAGUAGCGAACAUUUUGUAAAGUUGCUCCAUUUGCUUGGGAUUGAAAGCACCACUGGAACUCUGGGUAUUUUCUGUAGAAUAAUUGAUAGAUGCUUGAUAACCAUGAUUUCUAUUAUUUUGCCUCGAUUUCCAAUCGGUCAGCUUUCCGUGUAAGUCUCAACGUGUGUCUUCCUUAUGUCCUGGCUUACGACAGUAUUCACACCAGGGUCGACCCUUUUGUUUUGAGCCUGACCCAACUGCUAACCCUUUUUAUAUAAGCCCAUUCCGCCAGGCCCAACAUUAGUUGUAGCCUCGCUUUGAAGUUUUGAUGGAUCCACAUUUUAAAGAUUGGAGGCCUAUUAUUUGGAGGCCCAUUCCCUUUCACAACCAUGCCAGAGCUUUCGAUCCUCGACGUUGCAGACUCAAACACGCUGGUUCCAUUCAUCAUAACCUUCUGUUGGUUUUCCUCUCGCCUUACCUCCGCGAUCACCUCUCGUGGUGAUGGUAGUGGCUGUUGACCGAGGAUUCGACCUCUAACAUUGUCGAGGUCACGGUGAAGCCCAGCGAGGAAUUCCAAAAAUCUCUCAUUCUCCAGCUUUUUCCGGUAAUAGGCGCAGUCCUCAGGGCACUUCCACUUCUCUUCCGAACUCAGAUCGAGUUCUUGCCAGAGCGCAGUCAUCUCAAGGUAGUAGUCGAUUACAUCCCGUUCUCCCUGCUUGGUUUGCCAUAACUUCAAUUUAAUUUCAAAAAUCUAGGAGGAAUUUUCAGAAUCCGAAUAAGUCUCUUUCACAGCUUCCCAAACAGCUUUUGCAGUAGGUAGAAACAAGUAUGUCUUUCCAAUUGUGGGCCUCAUGGAGUUGAUGAGCCACGCAGUCACCUUGGAGUUCUCCGAUCUCCACUUUUGAAGGAGAAUUGUGUCGGUUGAGGUAGGCAUCUUAGUCUCUCCAGUCAGGUACCCAAGUUUGGCUUUUCCAUCAAUAAUCAAUUUGAUAGAUUGCGCCCAUUCUCUAUAAUUUCGUCCAUCCAAUUUUUCUACCAUGAAUUGAAAGGAUGAACCUUCAAUUCCUCCACUCACGGCAGAGGUAGCCUCCGUUCCUUCAUUGAAAGAUUCAGAUGUCAUUGACCCUGUGUUGGUGGUGGCAGUUUUUGUCAUUGGAAUGGCUCUGAUACCAUGAAAUUGAAAACAGGAAUAAGAUAUUUUCUCAUUAACAAUUUACAAUACGUGUCCUAUUUAUAGAAGAAAGAAGGAAUAAAAGAAAGGAAAGCAAAUCUCUAAUGAACAUACAAUAUUCUAUCUAAGGAAAAUAAAAUCUUCAAUAAUCUCUCUUAUUUUAUUGUAAAUUAAUUGGGGAUUUCCAACAAACAUAUAUAAUAAUAUAUAGUGCAACGCCCCGAAUUCUCGAAACCCGAAGCGUUAAAAUAAUAUUCGUUUCUUUCUUUGGUCCCCUUUGACACUAGCCAAAGUAUUUUAUAAAUCCAAUUUUUCUUUUAAAUAUAUAAAAAUAUAAUGGAAGGUAGUUAUCCAUAUAAACUUAGGCGAAUGUAGCAAAAUUUGAUUUUGUAAAAGAUUUGAAGGUAAAUCGACAAUUACGGAUUUAACAACAACGAAAGAAAAAUAUAUUUAGCCUAGCAAAUGUCUAUUAAAAUUUAUGAAAUUUUUACAGGGAUUAAAGCAUUCAUAUAUGUACCACAUAUAAAAAUUUGGGGUUUCGACGAUAACGUUUGAAGCACAAAAAUAUUACUCGAAUAUGCUGGACAGGGAUCUCGGAUUCGACACGACGCAAUUUAUUAAAACGGACAUAACUUUUUUUUAGAUAAUAUUUUUGAGAAAUUCCAAAGGCCACUAUUAGAAGACUCAUAGACCUUUCAAACCCCACUAAUAUCACUUAAAAACAUGCACCGUAGCCCAAGUUAUACAAUUUUCAAAUAGGACAAAAUCUGAAAUUUAACCCAGCAUAAAUUUAAACUUCAUACAUAUUCAAUCCAACACUUCUAAAUUCUAGUUAACAUGCAUUGUCUAUGAAACUAGACAAAAUAAACUUUAAAACAUUUCUAAAAAGUGUCAUCUAAGUAUCCAUAAAAUGUUUACAUAAAUGGAAAUAUUUACUAGAAAUUGAAAGCAUUAGAGAUCGCCGAACACUUGCCACUAUGCCAACAACUGCCAUGUCUCGAUCUUAACCUGUAAAAUUAUUUGUAGGGAUGAGCGCUAUAAAAAAAAUACUCAGUAGGAAGCACUUAAGUAAACGGUAAAAAUAUAUAUUUUCAGUAAUGUAAAAUUUAUUCGAUUAUGUCACCGUCAAUUUCAAGCGAACUGGUGAUCAGUCAGCCUGCUUACUUUUAGGUUUUGAUAACCCCCUUUCAUUUGUCAUAAUCAUAUCUUCAUAUCUUGUAUAAACCACCAAACGGUGAUUCCAUCGUGAGUAACACAAUAAGAAGUUUCACGCAAACAAAAACAUAUAAAUCUUAAAUCACAUAAAAAAGCGCCGAAACACCCCUACCUUAAUGUUUGGAGUUUGAAUAUCCUUUUGUGUCCAAAGGAAUAAAACGCAGCGUACUUCUUGCCUUUUCUUUAGAAAUUUCAGAUUUAAAGUACUUUAUGUUGAUGAAAGAAAAAAGGCGAAAUAACUUUAUAUAGGAGUAUAAUAGUUUGGGCGAUAAAACAUGGCUAAAGGAGUUGAAAUUGAGAAGGUGGCUGAGCAUGCCAUUCCAUUUACACCAGAAUUCUGUGUCUGUGCAUGAGAAAGAGAUGGGAUUAUAAUAAAACGUUGCUUAUGCGUGUGAGUUGGAGACUUUUAAAAUAAAAGGGCAGUUUUAAAUCAAAUUCUAAGUAAAGUCGCGGUAGUAGAUGUAUUAAAAAAAAAUGGAGGUUACACUCGAGGAAAUGGGAGUGGUGGUUGUAUUUAAAAUUGGAGGUUACAAAAGUAUGUCGGGAGGUUAAAAUUUAGAAUAUUGACUUUCAAAUGGAUAUUGAACAGGAUGUACAGUAGCCUCCAAACGCAAUAGCAAUUGAUGAUUAUGGUGGUUAAUGGUAAGUUGGAAUGGUAGUUUUAUAAAUAAUAUUUUGGACCAUAAAAAAAGACAAAAACUUCCAAAUUCAAAUAGCAAAAUGGGAUAGGGACGUGCCAUUAUAAUCCUUUGAAUUCAUAUGGCAGUUUACGGGUAUUAAAUUGGUUUGUGAGAUAAUCAAACACUAAAUGGUAGUUUUUCAUUAAAAAAAAAAAAAAAGGAAAUGAAACUGAUUGGCAAAGCAGUUAAUAGGUUUGGAAUUUAUUAAUAUGCAGGGGGGGUGUUGUGGCCUUUUUGAAAUGUUAGUUUUCCAACAAUGAGUAUGGACGUGCCUUUAGAAAUUGUGGGUGGUUAUGGUUUUGAAAUGUUAAUCUUCAACGGAUGAACAGGGCAUGUAACUUCCCAAUGAUCAAAUGACAAAAUUUUUAUUUAUAUAAAUAUAUAUCUUUUGAUAGUUAUUUUCAAAUAAAAUGGAAGUUUAUUAAAAUGGUAAGCUGGAGUAUAAAUGAUGGAUGAUGAAGCAUGCAAGUAAUUUGUCCAAAAAAAUAAAAUAGUUUAUAUAAUGGAAACCGAAAUGGUAGUAUUAAAAUAAAGUGUGUCGUAAGAAAAAUAAUGUAACCAAAUUAUCAUAAAAAAUUUUUGGUUAAUAGCGAUUUUAACACCCUGUAAAAUUUAAGAAAAUCAAGUACGCGGAAUUUUACUAUUAGGAAGUGUCGUAGUGACAUAAUAAUAUGACCCAGAUUAUAUUUGAGUCCUAUAAGGAAAUUUUAUUUUGGAAUGAAACGAAACAAUUUUUUUUCCGGUCGCUACAACUCUCCCCACUUAAAAUAAUUUCAUCCUCAAAAUUUAACUUACUUGUUUUAAGGAGAUCGAGAUACUUGGCUAAAAUGUCUUCUUCUCGUUUCCAAGUAGCCUUAUCCUCACCAUGUUUACUCCUCUGGACUUUGACUAGUGGAACCUUUCGAUUUCUCAGGACAUGGUCCUUUCUUUCCAGGAUUAUUGCAGGAGUUUCUUCAUACGUCAUAUCACUCCGCACAUCCAGUGAUCGAACAUUUACCACAUGAUUAGGAUCCGAAAUGUACUUUCUCAACAUAGAAAUGUGAAAUACGUUGUGCACUGCCGAAAGCUCGGGUUGCAAUGCUAAUCGAUAUGCCACAUUCCUAAUCUUUUCAAGAAUCUCAAAUGGACCGAUAAGUCUAGGGCUUAGCUUCCCUUUCUUUCCAAAUCGUAGUAUUUCCUUCAUUGGUGCCACUUUGAGAAAUACUCUCUCCAAUCUCGAAAGUCAAUUCUUUUCUCCUUUUGUCAGUAUAACUCUUUUGACGAUCUUGGACAGUCUUGAUUCUUGAUCUAAUUUUAUAUAUAGCCUCCAUAGUCUUCUCGACCAAUUCUGGGCCCAAAAUUCUCCUUUCACCAAUUUCAUCCCAGUAUAAUGGCGAACGACAUCGUCUACCAGACAAAGCCUCAUACGGGGCCAUGUCAAUAGUGGCUUGAAAGCUAUUGUUGUAUUCGAAUUCAACCAACGGCAAAUGAUCUUCCCAUUUACCACCCAAAUCUAGGACGCGAGCUCUCAACAUAUCUUCAAGAACUUGUAUAGUUUGUUCAGAUUGUCCGUCAGUCUGAAAAUGAUAUGCAGUACUAAAUGUUAACUUGGUACCCAUAGCUUUCUGAAGACCUAUCCAAAACUUCGAAGUAAACCUCGGGUCUCUAUCUGAAACGAUAGAUGCUGAAACACCAUGAAGUUUCAUAAUCUCCUUGACAUAAAUUUGUGCAAGCUGUUCUAAGCUGUAGGUUGUCUGAACUAGCAAGAAAUGCGCAGAUUUUGUAAGUCGGUCCACAAUAACCCAGAUCGCAUCAUGACCUUUCACUGAUCUAGGAAAACUAAUGACAAAAUCCAUUGCAAUCUUUUCUCACUUCCAUUGAGGUAUGUCCAUGGGGUUCAACAGUCCUGACGGCCUCAAAUGUUCAGCCUUCACCUGUUGGCAAACCAUGCAUUUGGACACGAAUAGAGCUAUCUUCCCCUCAAUAUUUCUCCACCAAAAUGUAUUACACAAAUCUCGAUAUAUUUUAGUUCCACCUGGGUGGGCGGCGUAAAGAGUUGAGUGAGCCGCAGUCAUAAUUUCAUUUCUCAACGCUUCAUCCUUUAGCACGCACAAUCGACCCUUAAAUAUCAAGGUUUUGUCUUCGGCUAUUUCAAAUCCCUUCCUCUUCUCAGUUCUUACAUCAGCCUUGAUAUUUUCCAAAAAGGGAUCAUCUUUCUGAGCGGCUACUAUUCUGUCCCUGAGUGUCGGUUUCAUAGUAAAACUUGCUAACUUUGCCGAUGUCCUUAUUGGUGACGUUAAUACUUCGAUUCUCAAGUUUUCAAAAUCUCUUAUUAAAUGAUCUUAUCUUGUACACAGUGCUGACAAGUGGCCCAUGUUCUUUCUACACAGUGCAUCAGCAACUACAUUAGCCUUACCCGGAUAGUACACGAUAGUGCAGUCGUAAUCUUAACUAAUUCUAACCACCGUCGCUGUCUCAUAUUCAACUCCUUUUGGGUGAAGAAGUAUUUGAGACUCUUAUGAUCGGUGUAGAUCUCACACUUGCUCUCAUAUAAGUAGUGGCGCCAAAUCUUCAAGGCGUGCACUACCGCUGCUAGUUCAAGGUCAUGCUUUGGAUAAUUUCUGUUCAUAUUGCUUCAACUGCCUCAAAGUAUAAGCUAUCACUUUUCCAUGUUGCAUCAAAAAACACAUCCUAAACCAAGCUUGGAUGCAUCACUGUAAAUCACAAAACCUUCUGAACCAUCAAGAAUAGUCAAAACCGGCGCAGAUACGAGCCUGUCUUUUAACUCUUGAAAAUUUUGUUCGCAUUUCUCCGACCAUACGAACUUAGUACUCUUUCGAGUCAACUGUGUCAUAGGACCUGCAAUCUUAGAGAAUCCUUCUAUAAAUCGCCGAUAAUAGCCGGCUAACCCUAGAAAGUUCCGCACUUCUCCAACAUUUGUAGGUUUCGGCCAAUUUAUCAUGGCCUCAACUUUGGAUUGAUCCACUUCAAUUCCUCGUGCUGAAAAGUAUGGCCUAGAAAUCUCACUCGGUCAAGCCAAAAUUCACAUUUCUUGAAUUUGGCAUACAACUUGUCCUCACGCAGGGUUUCCAAAACUAUCCUCAAAUGUUCUUCGUGUUGCAGGGAAUCCCUCGAGUAUAUCAGUAUGUCGUCAAUAAAUACAAUGACAAACAGUCCAAAUACUGAUGGAACACUUUAUUCAUCAAGUCCACAAACAUCGUAGGGGCAUUCGUCAAGCCAAAGGGCAUCACCGUAAACUCAUAAUGCCCAUACUGAGUCCUAAAUGCCGUUUUUGGUAUAUGACCGACUUAAUCUUCAGUUGAUGGUAGCUUGACCUUAAAUCAAUUUUUGAGAAUACGGAUGCGCCCUUCAACUGAUCAAAUAGGUCUUCAAUCCUAGGAAGAAGUUACUUAUUUUUGAUCGUCAACUUAUUCAAUUUACGGUAGUCGAUGCACAGCCUCAUAGUACCAUAUUUCUUCUUUACAAAAAGUACUGGAGCUCCCCAUGGAGAUGCACUCGGUCUAAUAAACCCUUUUGUCUAGAAGUUCUUCUAGCUGCAUCUUUAACUCUUGUAAUUCAUUUGGUACCAUUCGAUAUGGAGCUUUUUUUUUGGACACAGGAGUAGCUUCAGGUACCAAAUCUAUCGAGAAUUCCACUUGUCUAUUGGGCGGAAUACUCGGUAGAUCAUCGGGAAACACGUAAGCUUACUCCGUAUUAUUGGCACAUCAUCCAAUAUUUUCUCUUGAGAUGAGGUGCCGAUAAGAUACCCUUGGCAGUCAGGCUUCCUCAACAUGUUUUUUGCCUUCAAAGCUAAGAUGACGCGAGGAAGUGCCUUAACCUUCGAUCCAUAAAAUCUGAUUUCCUCCUCCCGAUCUUUGAAAAAUUACCUCUUUCUCAAAACAUACUAUCGUGGCUCGAUUUUUACCUAAUCCAUCCAUGCCUAAAAUAAUAUCACAGUCUUUCAUCUCUAUAACGUACAAGUCAGCCUCUAACGCUAGUCCAUCAAAAUUUAUUUGUACCCCAUCAAAAUUUAUUUGUACCCCUUGUGCUAUCCUAUCUGUAUCAAUAGUUCCUCCUGAUGGCAUACUAACCUCUAGUACAUUAUCGCCCCUAGGGCAUAUCUCCCAGUGGCAAAGGGGAGGGCGGAUAGGGCUCAGCGCGGCAGUGUGCAGAGUUCGAUUCCCCGCAAGGUGGAAUUGGCUUUGUUGCAAGCGGGAGUUAUCAUAUGGGUUAACAGCCUUGGCCUAUCCAUGUGCUCUCCACCCUGGCUCCUGGGAGGCACAUCCUGCGAUUUACCUCCUCCACGAUGGCCCAGGCCAGGGUCGGUGGGGGUCCUUAAGGUUGGGGUUCAACCUCUAGUACAUUAUCAUUCUUCUUACAUGAAGCAUUAAUAUUAGCUAGACAUGCAUUAGAUAUGAACGAAUGUGUUGCACCGAAAUCAAUAAGGACAUAAACUGGAGUACCAGAGACGGAUAAAAUACCUACGAGUACGUCCGGAUUUUAGGCAGUCUCGUCGUGAGUCAGAGCAAACACCCUUGCUUUUCCUUUCUUCUCUUGUUCAGGUUUCUUAAUCGAUGGACAUGAGAAAACCACAUGGCCAGGUUGGCCACACUUAUAGCAAGCAUACUUUCCAUACAGACAUUCCCCUCUGUGAAACUUGUUACACUUAGGUCAUUGGGAUGGAGGAUUACUUGACUGGCCCACAAGUGUUUGCUUCUUAAACUGUCAAGAAUUCUUAUUCUUAUCCUGCCACUUCCUUUUUCCAAAGUCAUUACGCUGUCCCUGAUUUACCAACUUCACCCCCGAAUAUGUUACUAUUUGAGCUUUCUUCACAACUGCUUGAAAAGUGGUGAAAUCGUGUGAACUCACAAUCUGCCUAAUCUCUGGGCGUAGGCCUCUCUUGUAACGUUUAGCCUUCAUGAGCUCAGUACUUACAAGAUGUGGGGCAUAUCGGGACAAUUCCUCGAACUUGCUCUGAUACUCGAAAAUUUCCAUAUCUCCCUGUAUCAGUCUUAGGAAUUCUGCCUCCUUAUAGUCUCGUAGAACUUGUGGGAAAAACUUCUCUGUUAGCACCAUUUUGAACUGGUCCCAAGUUAAAUUACGUUGUUCUUCCUCGGUGCGAGUACGUGAUGAGGAUUCCCACCAAUGGGUUGCUCUUCCAACUAGCAUAAACUUAGCACAUGAUACUUUUUGAUUUUCUAGACAAGAGAUAUGCCAAAAGAUUUUCUCAAUAGUACGUAACCACUCUUCAGCUGCCAGAGGGUCUUUCCCUCCACCAAAGGUAGGGGGUUGAUAUCUGCGAAAUUGUUCUACCGUCGGAAUAGACGGUACAUGUAGAUAUGCUAAUGGCACUAGCGGUGCUAGUGGGAUUGGUGGAGCUGGAGGUGCAGCCUGAGCAACCAAGGCCUGUUUCAACUCAUCAAUCUCUCGCCUUAGUUCCCUAAUUGUCCUUGCUUGCGCCAUAGUCAUAUAUACCAUCAUAAAUGUAAUCUCAUUCAGAGAAGUCGAGAAUACUUGCACAAUAUAGGGAAGAGAUUUAUAGUUGAGAAUCUUUUAUUAUCAUCUAAAUAGAAUCCUUUAACAGGAAUACAAAGUAAUAACAGAGCAUCUGACGCUAAUCAACAAGAAAACAAAAGGAAUCCAACUAGACAUCAAUAACAACUAAACCUAAUAAAAUCUACUGAAAUUUUGAUCCUCUAUUCAUCGUCGUCACUAAUCCAGCCUCCAUGAACCCUAGGUUUCUUAGAAGGCUGUGCCUCGUCGUCUGAAACAGGUGGAGGUGCAUCAUCAUGAACGUACAUCUCAGUAGGUACACUACCGUCCUCAGGGAUCGCGAGUUGGGCCAACUCCCACUGAUCAAUCAGCUCCAUGCAAAAAGGCCUCAUAGUUAAUCUCUCGAGGCAAAGUAGGCACAGCAAUACCCCAUAAAUAAUCAUAAAUCGAUUCAGCAGUCUUCAGCCACUCUUCUGGCAAGGUAUCAAUAAGAAGGCGGGUGGCUCGACGACCAAUGACCAUAUAGCCUAGUUAUCUCACCUCUCUCCACCUUACAAGUAUCUCCCAAAUGUGCUCACGCAUAUUGUACGUUGGAUUCCACUGGUACUCUUCGUACUGUCUCAUGAUCUCACAUCGACAAGGCAUCAAUUAGCGGGUAUCUAAUAGGUUUUAGUUAAUUCUCGAGGACUUAAAUAAAUAUUUAAUAUGGUCACGUUCUCAAAAUACUUUGCAAAAUAAUGAUUAUUCACAAAAGGUAUUCAACUCAAACAUGCAUUAAUAUUCAUAAAUACAUUUCAAAUGUUGUAUCAGAAAUAACUAUUCCAUAAUCAUCACAUAGAUACAAGCAUAACCAUAAAACUUUCUUUACCUCAAAAUCGGCAUGACGCGACUAUGGCGGGCAUAGUGCUUAAGAUCCUCAUUAAAAGUUUUAAUCAACUUUAUAUGUUACACAACAUUCCUAAGAUAUGGUUUCUAUUGCAAGUCUACAGAAAAAUACCCAGGCUCUAAUAUCAAGUUGUAACGCCUCGAAUUCUCAGAACUCGAAGCGUUAAAAUAAUAUUCGUUUCUUUCUUUGGUUUGACCCCUUUGACGCUAGCCAAAGUAUUUUAUAAAUCCAAUUUUUUUUUUAAAUAUAUAAAAAUAUAAUGGAAGGUAGUUAUCCAUAUAAACUUAGGCGAAUGUAGCUAAAUUUGAUUUUGUAGAAGAUUUGAAGGUAAAUCGACAAUUACGAAUUUAACAACAGCGGAAGAAAAAUAUAUUUAGCCUAACAAAUAUCGAUUAAAAUUUAUGAAAUUUUUACAUGGACUAAAGCAUUCAUAUAUGUACCACAUAUAAAAAUUUGGGAUUUCGACGAUAACGUUUGAAGCAUGAAAAUAUUACUCGAAUAUGCUGAACAGGAAUCUCAGAUUCGACACGACUUAGUUUAUUAAAGCGGGCAUAACUUUUUUUUUAGAUAAUAUUUUUGAGAAAUUCCAAAGGCCACUAUUAGAAGACUCAUAGACCUUUCAAACCCCACUAAUUUCACUUAAAAACAUGCAUCGUAGCUCAAGUUAUACCAUUUUCAAAUAGGAGGACAGAAUCUGAAAUUUAACCCAGCAUAAAUUUAAACUUCAUACAUAUUCAAUCCAACACUUCUAAAUUCUAAUUAACAUGCAUCAUCUAUGGAACUAGACAAAAUAAACUUUAAAACAUUUCUAAAAAGUGUCAUCUAAGUAUCGAUAAAAUGUUUACAUAAAUGGAAAUAUUUACUAGAAAUUGAAAGCAUUAGAGAUCGUCGAACGCUUGCCACUACGCCAACCACUGUCAUGCCUCGAUCUUAACCUGUAAGAUUAUUUGUAGGGAUGAGUGCUAUAAAGAAUACUCAGUAGGAUGCACUUAAGUAAAUGGUAAAAAUACAUAUUUUCAGAAAUGCAAAAUUUAUUCGAUUGUGUCACCGUCAAUUUCAAGCGAAUUGGUGAUUAGUCAGUCUACUUACUUUUAGGUUUUGAUAACCCCCUUUCAUUUAUCAUAAUCAUCUCUUCAUAUCUUGUAUAAAUCAUCAAACGAUGAUUCCAUCAUGAGUAACACAAUAAGAAGUUUAACGCAAACGAAAACAUAUAAAUCUUACAUCACAUACAAAAGCGCUGAAGCACCCCUACCUUAAUGUUUGGAGUUUGAAUAUCCUUUCAUGUCCAAAGGAAUAAAACGCAGCGUACUUCUUGCCUUUUCUUUAGAAAUUUCAGAUUUAAAGUACUUUAUGUUGAUGAAAGAAAAAAGGCGAAAUAACUUUAUGUAUGAGUAUAAUAGUUUGGGCGAUAAAACAUGGCUAAAGGAGUUGAAAUUGAGAAGGCGGUUGAGCAUGCCAUUCCAUUUACACCAGAAUUCUGUGUCUGUGCAUGAGAGAGAGAUGGGAUUAUAAUAAAACAUUACUUAUGCAUGUGAGUUGGGGACUUUUAAAAUAAAAGGACAGUUUUAAUUCAAAUUCUAAGUAAAAUGGCCGUGGUAGAUGUAUUAAAAAAAAUGGAGGUUACACUCGAGGAAAUGGGGGUGGUGGUUGUAUUUAAAAUUGGAGGUUACAAAAGCAAGUGGGGAGGUUAAAAUUUAAAAUAUUAACUUUCAAAUGGAUAUUGAACAGGACGUAUAGUAGCCUCCAAACUCAAUAGCAAUUGAUGAUUAUGGUGGUUAAUGGUAAGUUGGAAUGGUAGUUUUAUAAAUAAUAUUUUGGACCAUAAAAAAAGACAACAACUUCUAAAUUCAAAUGGCAAAAUGGGUAGGGACGUGCCAUUAUAAUCCUUUGAAUUCAUAUGGCAGUUUACGGGAAUGAAAUUGGUUUGUGAGAUAAUCAAACACUAAAUGGUAGUUUCUCAUAAAAAAAUAAGGAAAUGAAACUAAUUGGCAAAGUAGUUAAUAGGUUUGGAAUUUAUUAAUAUGCAAAGUGGGGGUGGGGGGGGGGGUUAUGGCCUUUUUGAAAUGUUAGUUUUCCAACAAUGAGCAUGGACGUGCCUUUAGAAAUUGUGGGUGGUUAUGUUUUUGAAAUGUUAAUCUUCAAUGAAUAAACAGGGCACGUAACUUCCCAAUGAUCAAAUGACAAAAUUUUUAAUUAUAUAAAUAUAUAUCUUUUGAUAGUUAACAACAAAUAAAAUGGAAGUUUAUUAAAACGGUAAGUUGGAGUAUAAAUGAUGGAUGUUGAAACAUGCAAGUAAUUUGUCCAAAAAAAUAAACGCGGAAUUUCACUUUCGUGACCAAAGUUUAAUUUGGACUAUUAGGAAGUGUCGUAACGACAUAAUAAUAUAACCAAGAUUAUAUUUGAGUCCUAUAAGGAAAUUUUAUUUUGGAACAAAACAAAACUUUUUUUUUUUCCCGGUCGCUACAUAUAGAGAGCAAAAGGUUUCAUGGGUAUAAUUUGUCAUGGUUAAAAUAAUCAGUAUUCAACCGAGAAAAACCUUCACACACUGAGAACAAAGGUAUAACCUUGUAUAACUAAUAAUAUUUAAUUUUUGUGAAUUUUCAUUAAAAAGCAAUUGAAGCAUGGGACAUGAUUACCAUUAGUUCAGUUCUCUGUAUUACUGACAUUGCAGCUACCUAACUUCUCCACAUGCUCUUUUUUCAACAUUUGUAGGAAGCCUUUUAGACUCUGAUCUACCAUAUAGUAUUUUGACAACAUUGAGGCAUCAAAUAAAGGGUGGUGCACGGACAGCCCAAAUUCCUCACACGCUUUCUAUAGCUCUCAAUUGGCACACUAAGUCUGUAACACUGUACAAUGGUCUGGAACUCAUGGUAAGUAUUUGAUGCAGCUAAACUUGCUGUUAUUUUCUGCCCAGAUAUUUGCCUGGUUGAUUUAUCAAACCUCGCUGUUUAAUUACAUUAGGCAAAGCACUAAUAUGCUUGAAGGUUUAAAUUGAUAGAGGUCCCUCUUAUAUAUGGAGAUGUUUCAGAAACUUUAGUGGUGAAUUUUUUCUGGAGACCCAAAUAGCUCUAGUGUUGUACAGUUUAGUGGCAUUGACUUGUAUAUUGGGUGUCUCAUGGAAUGGGUUGGACGUUACCUGGUAUGUCCCAUGAUGAUGGUAUCCUGUCAUUAAAACUUAUUGAAAGAGCAGUAUAGUUAAAAACCAAUUCUGGUAGCUCAAUGCUUUCGUGUACUGGAUAGUUGUCGUACAUCUUUAGUGAAAAGCAGCAGAUAUGGUUUACUCUAAAAAUAUAUUCUUGAAUGCCUAAUUGAGUAGCUGUUUAAGCUUUCUUGUUUGUUAAUUGUAGAGCAUCACAAGAAAAGAACGCUAGAACGGAAAAGAAGAUAGAGAACAGAGGAGAAAGAAAGCUAAAUCCUUUAUAAGUAGAGGGGAAAGAGUUGUUAACAUGCAUUUUCAGAAUGAAGAAACUUGGAGGGAAAUAUGCUGAGGAAGUGCGUAUUACUGACAAUGUGGGUAAUAUGAAGGGGAAUCAAGAUGAAGAGAAGUGGUCUAAUGAGUUCUUUAAGAUAACUAUGGAACUUUUUAAUCAUUUAAGCUGUUAGACAGGUUCAGAAAGCUAAGCUUAUGAAAUAUCUUUUAAUCUCCGAAAUUCCUGCUAUUUACUGUUUAGAUUGAUUCAAUAUUGGAUCCAAUAUUAGUAAUGCGGUUUGUUUGAUCUGUUGGAAUAUAUUUGUUAUUAGCUGUUGUUCUUGCCUUUUUGAUUUGUUUUAUGAAGCUAGUCUUCAGCUCAUCUUCUUGCAUCUGCUGGAAUGGAUCAUACCAUCUGUGUAUGGAAUGUGUGGAGUAGAGACCAGAAAAAGCACUCGUGUUGAAUUUUCACAAGGCAGCUGUGACAGACGUGAAAUGGUCACAGCAGGUACUACUUAUCCUCUAUUGUGGUUACGACUGUGCGUCAAGAUUAGUUGAUGUUGAAAAGGGGAUAGAAAUUCAGGUUUUCAAGGAACAUCAAAUUGUAAAAGUUAAAUUCCAUCCGCACAACUUCAACCUUUUCCUGUCUGGUGGGUCAAAAGGACUCCUAAAAUUUUGGGAUGUCAGGAGUGGCAAGGUGAACCACGAAUAUGUAAGGAAUUUUGGUCCAAUCCUUGAUGUAGAAUUCUCAGUUGAUGGCAAGAAUUUAAUCACCUCGAGUGAUGUGUCCGAAAGCAAUCUGAGCAAAAAUUCAAUCAUUGUUUGGCAUGUUUCCCUCCAAAUUCCGUUAUCCAAUCAGGUAAAUUCAUUAUAUGUCCUCUGGGGAUAAGCUCAGUUUUCAAAUAAUGAAAUAUUAAAAGGUAACUGCUUCCCUGUUUUCUAUAGGAGGUUUAACUACCUUCCCAUCCCCAUCCCCAUCCCCACCCCAAAAAUAAAAAUAAAAAUAAAUAAAGGGGUAAAAGAGAAAAAACUGAAAUAACCGAAUGAUCCGAAAUGAUUUUUUUGUGCACUUCAGAAUAUUAACGUUGAUUAAGAGUUGGAGUAACGGUAGUUAGACAUGUUUAACCUGAACUUCCUGGUCCUACAUAUAAAAGAAAUUGAUCUAAAUUUUACUCAAGGUUGACUUCUCAUGCAUUCAGUUCUGUGAAUACCCACGAGUCAAAAAUAGUUUUCCUUGCGCUGAAUUUAUAACAUAAAGAAGAUUAAUCUGCUUCAAAAUUGUGUCAUCUAGCUAGAAAUCUGGUCAUCAAUUUGUUUCAGUCUUAGUCUUUAAUACAAGUUCGGAUUAUGUUGUUUAACUAAAUGUGCAAACAACACAGUUAUAAGAAUUUGGUUUAAGCGAGGCCAGAAAAGGAAUCUAGUUCUGGACAAGACCCCCAAGAUUGCUGAAGUUGCCAGACAGAAUCUUGUUGUCAAUAUCUUCCUUACCAUAUGUUAUGGCUUAACAACCUUCAUAUAUGCUUCAUGGUUCCUUUGGUUCACCAUUGUGUUAAAAAUGUAAGUAAAGAAGGCUGUAGUCAUGGAAGUUAAAGAUAUUGUAGGAAUGGCAUGGCAUCUACAAAAAAUGGAUGGUGUACGAGAUUCAAUGCUAUGUUGUCAACUAUAGAUGAUAAUGUUAACAGGGGCUGAAGGACGACGGAUAAUUGUGCAUGAUGAACCAACUUGUUCUCCAUAUGGGAAGAUAUACCCCUUUGUUUCUUGCAGGGAUCUCAAUCGAUAAAGUGUAAAUGAGGCAAAGAAAAUAUAUUAACAAUAUUCAAGACGUAAAAUACUUACAAGAUUUUAUUUUUUAUUUUUUUAUUUUUUGGAAUUUAAAUUGUAUAAGCAAGAAAUUUCAUAUUUUGUAAUUGAAACAUAUUUAAAUAGAAUAUACUUAAAAAUAUUGACCCAGAACAUAAUAAAGGAAUUCAAUAAUUACUCAAAUUUAUAGAAGAGUUGAUGGUACAGGAAACAUGCAAUUUGAGCAUUCAAAGUAUGAGAGAGUUUAUAGAUAUGGAAAUAGUGUUUGGGUAUUAUUCUCGGAGUACAGCUAGAUUUGCUGGUUUGGAGUAUCUUGGAAUGUUGCUAGGUUCUUAGACUCAACUGAUGAUGGACUUUUAUCAUCAAAAAGCUUACCACUCUUUGCAAUUACGAGAAGUGGUAAUUGAUUUUACAUUUUCAAUUUGAGGUCUAGAGGAGCCUUGCUCAUGUACUCUAAAUUGACCCUCGGGAUUAGGUUGUGGUUGGGUUAGAAAUUUCCCCUUCCCCUGAAUGCUCAAAGAGGAUGUCAAUGACUUGUGAAGUUUGGUUGUUGAUGGUAGUUUUUUCCUUGCAUAAAAGCAUGCAAUGUCUCUUUAAUGGGUACAUAAUUUUCAUUCCUCCAACUAAAAUUUGGCCAACUCUUCCAUCCAUGAUGAGCUGUGGUUGAGUUGGAAAUAUUCCUUUCUCCAGAAUACCCAAAGAGGAUGUCAAUAUGGUGAGAUUGGUUCUCAUCUCAUUGAUGGCCUUUGAGUUUUGGUUGUUAAUGGUAUUUGUCCUUGGCAUAAUUGCAGGCAAUGCAUCUUUUAAGGGAUUUUUUUUUUAAGUGGAGCCUAUACUAGUACUUUGGGUGGAUGAUCCCUCCAUCAAAUGAAUUAUAGGUUUCAAAAUAUGGAGAACAGCAGAUGGCCCCGUCUUUUUCGUAGUAUCCAUGGAAGCAACUUGUUCACGCAAAACCUCUUUAAAGUCUAGAAUGGGGAGACUCUCAUGUGUAAGGUGACCGUGGUUACAAGUUUUCUUGCUAAACAAAGGAAACAACCUUAGCCUAACCACUUAGUCAAUCAAGAUUGGGACUUAAUAAGAUAAAGGCAUAUUUGGAUGGGUAUUAACAUUUAUGUUCACUCUAUCUUGUUGCUUUGAUUAUGCAGCUAAUUCAUGUUUUAGACAGAACUAUGGUUGUAUUUACCGUCUGGUCCAAUAUGAGACGUUAGAUUUUGUUGAAGUUUGUAAAAUGUUACUUUUCAGGUCUAUACAUUACACAAUUUUCAAGAACAAACAUGUUGAGUUUAUCAUGUGCCACUUAUUUUGUAAGUGCCAAUUGUUGAAGGUG
RNAcentral lists this long non-coding RNA (23994 nucleotides) under Olea europaea (common olive). Its description in RNAcentral is "long non-coding RNA (OEUR_LNC004392)". The record is from RNAcentral. Lineage: Eukaryota; Viridiplantae; Streptophyta; Magnoliopsida; Lamiales; Oleaceae.